Long non-coding RNA from Thunnus maccoyii (southern bluefin tuna), 1581 nucleotides. RefSeq lists it as uncharacterized. The record is from RefSeq and is a predicted model, not a curated record. The transcript is spliced from 3 exons. NCBI's taxonomy places the organism in Eukaryota, Metazoa, Chordata, Actinopteri, Scombriformes, Scombridae.
UAAUCGUCUGUGGAGAAAUACAAACACAUGAGCACGAGUCACAGGUUGUUAAAGCCAGUAACAAGGACUAGGAAUGUCCUCAGUUAUGGAUUUUAAAAGUUAUUUUGUGACUGAAUUAAUGUAUCUGCUUGGCUCAACAGGUGAGCACUGUCCAGAGUGAAUCCAAGGAUAACAUUCUUUGAAUAUGUUAACAAGAACAACUAUCUGAAGCCAUGCUAGCAGCUGUGUGACACUUGUUUUUAUAAUUAAUUAAUUGUUUAGUCUAUGACAUGUCAGAAAAUGUGCAUUCUGAUUUCCUGCAGCUAAAGUUAACGUCUUCACACAUCUUGUUUGGUCUGAACAACAAUCAAAAACCCAAAGAUAAACAUAUACGACACAUAUACGACACAUAAAAGCAGCAAAUAUUCAAAUUUGAGAAGCUGGAACUGGAUAGAUACCUAGAGACUCAUUGUACAUGAAUAUGCUGGUGUGGGUUUCCUGAUAACAACUGCUGAUAACACUUUGAUUUGAUUAUUUGAUGUCAUUUAGAAGAUUGGAAUGUAUAGCACCAAAUGGGCGAUUGGUUUUUGCUUUGCUAUGUGAUCAUUAAAAACAAAUACUGUUGUGAAAGAACAACAAAGCAAUGACAGAUGUAUGUAUUUCAACAAAGGAGGAUGAGAAACUUAGAAACUUUGCUGUUUUAAAGAGCCUUCGUGGCCAUUGGAGUAUAGAUCUCUGAGUUUACGAGGUGUACUUGAAUGCACCAUGAACUCGUGUACUGUCAAGGUUUGGUAACGAUACUUGAAUAACCUGAGGCAGGUAACGUCAUGGUCGGACAGAUAUUUACAGUUGUCGUGUGGUAACGUUCACUAACCUCAGUGUACUUCUGGUAAACCUAAAACACGUCAUUAUUCUGACAGUGUGGGAACCGGAAUUAGGCCAGAGGUGGGAGGGCAAGGUCCUCCAACAAGUUCAGAAUGGUCAUUCUUAUGCAACUUUGCCCUGAGGACUGAGAGCAGAUGGUCUGCAGGUCUAAGAGAACAAACGGGGGUGUAAAGGACAAGAAGGUCAGUGAUGUAAGAUGGGAAUGUAAUGGAGUGGAAGUGUAAAGUAGCAGGAAAGGGAAAUGAUCAAGUUAAUUAUAUCUCUAAAAGUAUAGUACAUGAGUAAAUGUACUUAGUUACUUAAUGCUGAGAUCGAUAUCAGCAAUAUUACAGUAUAAAAAUACUCCUUUACAAAUGAGCAUCUUGCAUUCAAAAUAUACUGAAUAUGUUUUACUUAUUUAGGAAAAAGUAUUUGUGGCAACAUUUACUGAAAGUAAGUACUCAUUAUGCAAAAUGUUAUAUGUACAAAAUGUGUUCACGCCUCUUAAAUCUCUCAGAAAAAGACCUUUUAUUGUCACUUACCCUAAAUGAAUCACAGAUGUAAAAUACAUUAUUUGUUUUACAGAUAAAAUCUAGAUAUGAAAAGUCAUUUUAGCUGUGUAGUACUGUAGUACUGUACUCAAGUUCAGUACUUGAGUAAAUGUACUUUCCAUCACUAGGAAGAAGAAGUAUUGAGAUCUUUUAUUUAAGUAAAAGUAGCAAUGUCAGUAUGUACACA